This 77-nucleotide transfer RNA is filed under the name Enterobacter cloacae. RNAcentral's name for it is "tRNA-Met". It matches the Rfam family "tRNA". From Rfam's summary of the family: Transfer RNA (tRNA) molecules are approximately 80 nucleotides in length. Their secondary structure includes four short double-helical elements and three loops (D, anti-codon, and T loops). Further hydrogen bonds mediate the characteristic L-shaped molecular structure. tRNAs have two regions of fundamental functional importance: the anti-codon, which is responsible for specific mRNA codon recognition, and the 3' end, to which the tRNAs corresponding amino acid is attached (by aminoacyl-tRNA synthetases). tRNAs cope with the degeneracy of the genetic code in two manners: having more than one tRNA (with a specific anti-codon) for a particular amino acid; and 'wobble' base-pairing, i.e. permitting non-standard base-pairing at the 3rd anti-codon position. RNAcentral also lists the same sequence under 11 other names. Lineage: Bacteria; Pseudomonadati; Pseudomonadota; Gammaproteobacteria; Enterobacterales; Enterobacteriaceae. The record is from RNAcentral.
CGCGGGGUGGAGCAGCCUGGUAGCUCGUCGGGCUCAUAACCCGAAGGCCGUCGGUUCAAAUCCGGCCCCCGCAACCA